This 224-nucleotide long non-coding RNA is filed under the name Elaeis guineensis (African oil palm). RNAcentral describes it as "long non-coding RNA (EGUI_LNC070183)". Lineage: Eukaryota; Viridiplantae; Streptophyta; Magnoliopsida; Arecales; Arecaceae. The record is from RNAcentral.
CGCCCUCACUAUUGCUUGUUUAGGUUCACAUUCACAUCAACAUGCAAGUGAUAAAGACUGUCAAUUAAAAAAUCUCGUACAAUUAAUUUAUUUUAUAAAUAAAUAAAAUAAAAGCUUUUAUUGAAACUAAUUUCAAAAUCUUCUUAUGCUAGCACAAAUAUGAAAAUCAAAUUCUGACUAGCUACAGGAAUAUAAUAACAGUCUUUUAAAUCUAAUCUAACACC